Molecule: ribosomal RNA, 944 nt
Rfam family: Eukaryotic large subunit ribosomal RNA
UAUCACUAAGCGGAGGAAAAGAAACUAACCAGGAUUCCCCUAGUAACGGCGAGUGAACGGGGAUCAGCCCAGCACCGAAGCCUGUGUCCUUUUGGAUGCUAGGCACUGUGGUGUUUAGGCGGUGACAUGUCGGCUCAUCUGCUGCCCCAAGUCCAGUAAUGAAUAUGGCUCUUAUAUUGGCCCAGAGAGGGUGAAAGGCCCGUGGGGGUGGUUGUGGUGAGUUGACUGGUUCCGCCUUGGAGUCGGGUUGUUUGUGAAUGCAGCCCAAAGUGGGUGGUAGACUCCAUCUAAGGCUAAAUACUGGCACGAGUCCGAUAGCGAACAAGUACCGUGAGGGAAAGUUGAAAAGUACUCUGAAGAGAGAGUUAACAGUGCGUGAAACCGCUGAGAGGUAAACGGGUGUAGUCAAGCUGCAAGCUCUGGGGAUUCAGCUAAUCAGUAUGACGUGUGUGCAUGAGCACAUUUUUGGUCUGUUGCGGUCCGCCUAAACUGGUGGGCUCGGCUCUUUUGGGUCGAGUGCUUGGGUAUCAAAUGGAUACUGAGCGCCGUGCAGAGUCCAAUUGCUGGUUGGUGCACUUCCUCAGAGUGUAAGCCACGACCGCCGUAGCUGCCGGUCUGCCGGGAUCAACCGGCUUGGUGGGGCUAUAUAGCUCAAUCAGGUCGGGAUGGCAGGUAGCCUGGUGUGUUCGUUCGCGUGCAUGUCGGGUGUUAUAGCCGAUCCUUGUGCGGUUCAUAAACUGUGCAGUGCGGUGGAGAUAUCGACGUGUUGGCAACGGCUUACGUGCUAAAGUCUGCCGGCGUGUGCAACGUCUGGCUGCCUGUAGUCGAUGAAAAAUUCGGCCUGGCGGCGGCUUGUCCACGGUGUAGCGGGCGGCGGCGUGAGCUAGCCAUCGGCCUUGUGUCGGUUCGUCGUCUAUAGUCUGUGGCGUAGUGGUAGACGAUCC